GAUGAACGCUGGCGGCGUGCCUAAUACAUGCAAGUCGAGCGAACGGACGAGAAGCUUGCUUCUCUGAUGUUAGCGGCGGACGGGUGAGUAACACGUGGAUAACCUACCUAUAAGACUGGGAUAACUUCGGGAAACCGGAGCUAAUACCGGAUAAUAUUUUGAACCGCAUGGUUCAAAAGUGAAAGACGGUCUUGCUGUCACUUAUAGAUGGAUCCGCGCUGCAUUAGCUAGUUGGUAAGGUAACGGCUUACCAAGGCAACGAUGCAUAGCCGACCUGAGAGGGUGAUCGGCCACACUGGAACUGAGACACGGUCCAGACUCCUACGGGAGGCAGCAGUAGGGAAUCUUCCGCAAUGGGCGAAAGCCUGACGGAGCAACGCCGCGUGAGUGAUGAAGGUCUUCGGAUCGUAAAACUCUGUUAUUAGGGAAGAACAUAUGUGUAAGUAACUGUGCACAUCUUGACGGUACCUAAUCAGAAAGCCACGGCUAACUACGUGCCAGCAGCCGCGGUAAUACGUAGGUGGCAAGCGUUAUCCGGAAUUAUUGGGCGUAAAGCGCGCGUAGGCGGUUUUUUAAGUCUGAUGUGAAAGCCCACGGCUCAACCGUGGAGGGUCAUUGGAAACUGGAAAACUUGAGUGCAGAAGAGGAAAGUGGAAUUCCAUGUGUAGCGGUGAAAUGCGCAGAGAUAUGGAGGAACACCAGUGGCGAAGGCGACUUUCUGGUCUGUAACUGACGCUGAUGUGCGAAAGCGUGGGGAUCAAACAGGAUUAGAUACCCUGGUAGUCCACGCCGUAAACGAUGAGUGCUAAGUGUUAGGGGGUUUCCGCCCCUUAGUGCUGCAGCUAACGCAUUAAGCACUCCGCCUGGGGAGUACGACCGCAAGGUUGAAACUCAAAGGAAUUGACGGGGACCCGCACAAGCGGUGGAGCAUGUGGUUUAAUUCGAAGCAACGCGAAGAACCUUACCAAAUCUUGACAUCCUUUGACAACUCUAGAGAUAGAGCUUUCCCCUUCGGGGGACAAAGUGACAGGUGGUGCAUGGUUGUCGUCACCUCGUGUCGUGAGAUGUUGGGUUAAGUCCCGCAACGAGCGCAACCCUUAAGCUUAGUUGCCAUCAUUAAGUUGGGCACUCUAAGUUGACUGCCGGUGACAAACCGGAGGAAGGUGGGGAUGACGUCAAAUCACCAUGCCCCUUAUGAUUUGGGCUACACACGUGCUACAAUGGACAAUACAAAGGGCAGCGAAACCGCGAGGUCAAGCAAAUCCCAUAAAGUUGUUCUCAGUUCGGAUUGUAGUCUGCAACUCGACUACAUGAAGCUGGAAUCGCUAGUAAUCGUAGAUCAGCAUGCUACGGUGAAUACGUUCCCGGGUCU
Molecule: ribosomal RNA, 1372 nt
Filed under: uncultured bacterium
Lineage: Bacteria
Description: bacterial SSU rRNA
Rfam family: Bacterial small subunit ribosomal RNA
Source: RNAcentral